RNAcentral lists this ribosomal RNA (470 nucleotides) under uncultured bacterium. RNAcentral's name for it is "SSU rRNA". It matches the Rfam family "Bacterial small subunit ribosomal RNA", at positions 26 to 518 of the family's 1533-position model. The record is from RNAcentral.
AGAAUGAACGUUGGCGGCGUGGAUUAGGCAUGCAAGUCGAACGGGCCGCAAGGCCAGUGGCGCAAGGGUGAGUAAGGCGACGGCAACCAACCCCGUGAUUGGGUAUAGCCGCGGGAAACCGCGGGUAAUCCCCAGCGACGUCCGGAAGGGGCAUCCUUUUCGGACCAAAGCUUCGGCGUCGUGGGACGGGCCGUCGUGCUAUUAGCUUGUUGGCGGGGUAACGGCCCACCAAGGCUCUGAUGGCUACCGGGCGUGCGAGCGUGGCCCGGCACACUGGGACUGAGACACUGCCCAGACUCCUACGGGAGGCUGCAGUCGAGAAUCUUCGGCAAUGGGCGCAAGCCUGACCGAGCGACGCCGCGUGGAGGACGAAGGCCUUCGGGUUGUAAACUCCUGUCGAGGGGGAAGAAGGGGUAAAACCUUGACUGAUCCCUGGAGGAAGCACGGGCUAAGUUCGCGCCAGCAGCCGC